Aegilops tauschii subsp. strangulata is the source of this 3336-nucleotide non-coding RNA. NCBI's taxonomy places the organism in Eukaryota, Viridiplantae, Streptophyta, Magnoliopsida, Poales, Poaceae. The record is from RefSeq and is a predicted model, not a curated record.
CAUAUGUGCAGGACGAUGGGAAGACGAGCUAGAGGCCAAAAGCAAUAUUGCAACACCAUGCGUGAGGAACAUGAUUCUGCCAGUAUUUAAGCAUUAUACUUGCUAACUGAGAGCUUAAUUAUCUUUGAUGCAACCAGUCCGUCCAAGCAUGCAAAUAGUUGAUUUGGGAUGUAGAGAUUAAAGAACAGCAAAAUCGUAAGCCAUCGGGUCAGGACGUCAUGUUCAGAAUUGUCUUGGCAUCUUCCAGUGUGGCGACGAUGUUGAUUGUCGGGAUUUGAAGAUAAGUGUGCUCCAUACCGUGGCUGAGCCUGUCGGUUUCGCACAGUGGCUGCACGACACCUCAUGGACCCGAUGUGAAGGACAAGUAAGCCAUCCACACGAAGUCGGCGGCAGCAAGGGUGUGGGGCGUCGGGAGGAGCAUCUGGGUUGAAGGUUCUGGCCCUCGCCAUUGAGACUACCGUGGUCGUCGCCGAGUACAUCUGAUCCAAGGCAUGGAGAACUCCAAGGAGUUUGCUGACAAGCUGUUCGGGAUAUGUCGAGGCAGAGGAACAUUGAGCCAGAUGAAGGCAUUAACAAGGAUCAGCUCAGAGAGGUGGAACAUGAACAUUGAUGGGAUGCUCACAGAAGAUGAGGUCAAGAAGGUGGCUACGCAAAUGAUCACAAAGAGAAGACUACCGCUGGGCCUUUUGAUCGACCACGCGAUUCAAAAAGCUCUUUAGUGCAGUUUGCAACAAAAAAAAUCAGAGGAUUGGUCGUUUGUAAGGGUGGAUAUAUCAGAGGCGGCAGCCACCCGGAUUGGAAUUUAAUUUCAAUCUAUUUCCCUGUCUGAAGUUUCAUACUAGAUGAGUUGCAAGUGGUACUAUGUUCCUACGCUGCGUCGACCCGAGCAGUUGCGAGAGCGAAUGAAGCUGCGGUUGCACGGACAAGCUUGUGGAGGUGUUAGUAUGCACGCAUGCGUCCCUGAUUUGGAGCAUGCCUCUGGCCUGGUAGGAUUCUCGCUCUGCCCCGACCUGAAGGGCGUUCCUCUAUCUGUGUCGUGCUCGGGACCAUGCACUAAUGCAGGUGCGGUUCUUCAGCUUUUCUUUGUCUUUUUCUUGGUAUGUAUAUCUCUCAAUCUUGUGAGCCGUGAUUUUCAUGCUGCCAUGUAUGCCAUUGUGUCCUGUAUAAUGAUUCUUCUUAUUAUUUUUGAAUGGCAUAAUUAUUCUUAUUGAGGCAAUGCCGCUGCCUAAUUUGCUUAUAGAAAUAACAUACUAAUUAAUACAGGGAGAGAGUACGAUUUUUUGACACAAUCUGCAGUACCCGUGAGCCUGCCCAUAGGUAGAUAUGGAUACAUUUUGUAGCUUCCAUUCUUGUUUUCUCUCAUUAAAAUUAUGGAUUUGGAAACUAAUCAUGGAGUGUCUAGAUUGCCUGCUAUAUUACCAAGUGCGCUGAAGGAAAAGCUGCUGCCACUGUUGAUGACCACUCUAGGUGAUAUAAUUCAUGUUUGCUUUGUUGUUUCAGUAACUUCCUGUAGCAUAUUGGUUCCAUCUUUUUUUUGCAUCAUGGUACAUUAUUCUCAUCUUGAUAUAUAUCAUUUGGUCAACUGAAGAUUUGAGUGCAGGGUAGAAUUCUUGGUUGAUUUUAGAAUUUCGUUGUUGAUUAGUUGGCCAACGGACUUUUAUGAAAUUCAAGGCGUCAUUUAGUGUACUAUAUGUCAUAUUUGUCUUAUUUCUAUACUCACAAUAUUUCCGCAUCAUCUGAACAAAUGAUGCUAAAUUGAUAUAAUCAUUUUGGAUCAGUGUCAUCUUCUCAAUGCUGAACAGCCAAAAUAUAUACAUAGUGAGCAUUCCGCCGCACAUGCUCAUACGUCAUAUUUAUGUACUGUUUACCACGGCAAAAAUUGGUCAAACAUUUAAACAUUUCUACUGUUUAACACAACCAAAGUAUAUACAUAAUGAUCAGUCCUCCGCUGCACGUUAGAUCCAGCCUCCCUCCCUUGACACCAUUCUUCUUACUUAUUAUUAUUUAUUUUAAAAAUAUCUUUAGUUUUAUUUUCUAGCUACUUCAAUUCAUUUGUAUAUGGUUAGUUCCAUCGCACUACGAGGAUGAUCCAUGGCUGGUCGCGGACGAUCACCUGCGAGGAUGAUUCAUGGCCGAUUGGGAAUGGUCAGUUCCAUCACACUGCGAGGAGAUGAUUCAUGGCCAGUCGGGGAUGGUCACCUGCGCCCGAAGGCCAACCUUAAUACUGGACCUUGAAAGGGGCAUGUGGCCAACCAUGCCGGAGGACGCAGAGGAGUUGUUUGGGAAUGUUAUCAUCAGAGGACCCAAGAAGCAACCCACCACGGAUGCAUGGACCAACCACGCAAGUCCAUUCUUGCAAUCCAUCUGUGGCGAGGGUUCAUGACAGACAAGCCAAUAGAUUUGGGGGUCCACUUCCCGGUGAAACAAAUGUUCAUUGCGGACAAUACGAAGACAAUGAUUGGUACAAUGAGGUGAAUAUAUUAGAAUUUUUAUUCUUCUCUCUCCAUGUCUAUGUUUGUGCUUGAUCAACUGUCCACUUAAUGAUUUUAGUUGUACAAAGUCCUAAGCCGGUCUCACUAGGUCGUACCCAGUGGCGGAGACAGGGGGGACCAGCAGGGGCCCUGGCCCCCCCUAAGACCAUGAUUUUGCAUGUAAUUUGCUAUGAGCAGUGGCAAAAUUAGUACUAAUUUGCUGCUAAAAAUCUAUUUUUCAACACUUUGGUCCUCCCCAACCAGUUUUAGUAGCACUUGGCCUCCCUUAUAGAUAUUUUCUGGCUCCGCCAUUGGUUCGUACUUGUACCACACCGUGGGAAGGUUAUGGCCAAGAAUGAGCUGGAGGUUAUUGCUUUGGCGACGCCGAAGGCCGUUCACGCGAAGAGGAGAUGUGCCUGGUGACGAGAAGUCUUAGACCACCGGCUGCAAGGUUGCACCUUGGAGUUCAAAAUUUGGUGUCUUCGCAUUGAAGGAUCCAAUCCAUCGACUUUGGAGUUUGAACAUGUCACUUGUGAUGGGGAGAGGAAGAGAUGACUUGCAUACACUGGACAAUGAGUAUGUUAGCAGCGUGGUGGCUCAGGACUGUACAAGUUGUAGUAGCCCCUUCCCUUAUAAAUGUUUUGUUUUGAUUGGAAGCACCUUAUAAUUAGCUAAUAUAUGGAUUUCAUUUACAUCGUCUGUCCAAGUAUGCGAGGCCCAUGAGAUGGGCAUUAAUCACUUCUCCUUUUUGUCAGUAUUUUGAUAGGGGACCUAUGUAUAUGGGAAGGAGUUAGUAUCAUGUAAAUCGUAUCACCAAUUUAAGGAUCCUCAUGUUUUCUUACUUUUCAACACUUAUUUGUGAUUU